GGAAUUGCUGAAGUUGUGAAGGUUGAUGCUGUGAAUGCGCUCGGUCAUCCCCUUGCAACUGAUGUCACCUGCACGGUGGGUGGCAAGACAGACACAAGACAGGGCGUGUGGGUCAGGGCUAACUGACUUCAUUCCUAACACCCAUGUCUUAGGUGGGUAAUGCCCAUGGCUCCUGGAAACAGCCCCAACCCCCCACCUUGCAGACACAAGCAGGCUCUGUGGCGAGUUGGACAUGCUUUGCACAGCAGGCUGAGGUAUGAUGGCCUACGGGAACAAUGCCUUUCUUCCAUUUGGCCCCAACAAUGCCCCAGCUAUUUUGGGUACUGAAUCCCUGUCAAUGCCCUAGAGCUUCAGCCAGGGUUGUCGAAGUAGAGCAGCCAAAUAAACAGAUGGGUCAUUUGCCUGCUCUUACUACAACUUCAGCAAAUAAGACCUGAAAAACAAAUGGAAGAUUGGUUCUCAUGGAACUGUCUACUUCCACUUUAGACAGGUCUAAGACGAGGUCCUUCGGGAAAGCUUACAUUUUUCCCAGUUUUUCAAGGUUCUUGAUUUUAUUCAUAGACAGCAAUCAUAUUCAUUGUUAAAAAAUAAACUCCCUUCCUACUCAUUUAUAUGUAUAUUUCCAAACCCACACCAUGUAUGCAAAAACUCUUGGAAAAUUCAGUCCAGACUAAGACAUCCACCAAACAGCUGCUGCCAUGUUUUCCAGUUGAGGGACAGGUGAUGGAAUGCAAUCUGCUGGUUGAAGGGGCGCUCACCCACUGUUUUCCGUAUGUACACAUUCUUCUUGUCAUCUCUGACAAUCUGAGAACUUUCUAACUUGGUUGUAUGUGAUAUGGAUGGUUUCCUGAGUUUCCUGAAACUUAAUGUAGAAGGAGUGUUAAAAAGGUCAGAGAUGGCAGCACUGACCUGGCAGACUGUAGUGUACUAGGUGCUCAUAUUUAGUGUUCAAACUGGGCACUUCUGAGAGUGCAAGGGAGCACUGUUAAUAAUUAGGUGAGGACAGCAGGAGUAAAGCAAGAAUGGGAUGUGUGAUCACCCAAGCCAAUAGAGUGCUGUAUGCACUUGCCACAGCUCCCCGUGGGAAGGCAAUAGUGUACUAUGGGGAGGCUGUGGAUAGCCUGACCCAUUGCUUAUUCCCCACGUUCUGCAGACAAGGGAUAAUGUCGGUAACAUCUGGAUCACAGAUUGAGAAAUAAAAUGGAUGGCUGUAACACUAAGUCUUAGGGCUUUCCUAUUUUUCUACCUCACUUCUCAAAUGGCUCCAAAGAAUCCUUUUCUCUGAACCAUCCUUCAUUUCUAUUCCCUAUUCCUGCCUUCAUAACUGAACAAUCAGCUUGAGAGGCCAAGUGAGGAGGCUUUUACCACCCAGGUGGCUCAAGCACAGAUUGUUGGCCUGUGACCCGGAUCUCUGUGUCUUGUGAGAAGUAACCCCCAGAGGUAAUGACCUGCAGAUGGGAGGAAUGCCCACCUCCUUUGGUUCUUUCUCGUCCACCUUAGGAGAGAGGACCGGUUCAGGAAAGUCUGAGCUCAACUAGCUCUACCUUGCUUCACUCGAUCUCCUCCUCAUGCUAUUUGAGCUCAGUUGGUGUGACCACAUCCUUUUACAUACUCAUUUAUUUCCUUUGUUUCCAUCUUUAUAUUUUGUCAGCCUCACAUAUAUCCAGUUAACUUAAUAAAUGCCUAGAGGCUCUAUGUUCACUUUCAGUGAUAUGAUUUGCAUUGGUUUUUACGUAAGAGAAUUCCUUCUUGUUCUGGCUUCCAUUUGGUCUAUUAUGUGCCUAAAAUACUGUAUUGGGCUACAGUUUCUAUUUUUUUCACUGUUGUAAAACAAAUGGUCUUUGCCAGAUUCAAGAAUCAUGGUGAACCCUCUAUAACCGUGCUAAUACAAAAUAGAGCCCCAGGGGAAGGCCCCAAUAACCCAGGAAGAAAUGUUCAGGAAAUCAGUCAGCAGACCAAAUUCUAAGACCUUGCUGAGUCCUCCAUGCACAUAGAGCAUGAUAAUGACAAGAGCAUUUAUUUUUUAAAAGCUUACCACUUAUUACCAUAUCAUUUCACUGAAUCGUCACAGCAACCCCUAUCACAUAGGUAGUAUUAUUAUCCUCAUUUUUCAAAUGGGAAAACUGAGGCCAGAGAAAUCAAGAAAAUCACUCAAGGCCACUUAGGCAGUUGGUGAAAGAGUGGCAUUUGAACCCAGGUGGUCUGGCCCUAGAAUUCACAUUCUUACCUGCUUCAUUGCAUUUGCAUGCUUUGCCCCAAAUGAAGUCUGGCCCUUAGGUGUCCAUGGGUCCACUGUAAAGCUGCAUGAAAAGGUUUGUCCAAUAUGUCCUUCAGUUACUUCUAUAUCUACCCAUAAAUUAGCAUGGUGUUCAUGUUUCUAGGCCUUGGGACUUCAACAUGGUUUCAGUAAUCUAACUUAAAGACAUCUUUAAGUUGCACUAAAAUGUAGUAAGACUACACUAAAAUGUAGUAAGGCUUUUCUUUGUUUUAAUAUAUUUUUUAAACGUUUAUUUUUGAGAGGGGGGGCAGGGAGAGGGGACAGAGGAUCUCAAGCGGGCUCCAUGCUGACAGCAGCGAGAUCCACAAGAUCCUGGCCUGAUCCGAAGUCGGAUGCUCAACUGACUGAGCCACCCAGGUGUCCCAAAAUGUAGAGUUUUCUACAUAUAAGUUUACUAUCACUAAGGUCUUUUUUAUUUAAGUUAACAGUGAGCACUAAAACUGGCCGAGUCUCUGAUAAAAUCACCAUCUCUAAGUAGGAUGGAUUUAUUAGAUAACUUUUUUCCACACAGGUGAAAAUACUCUUUUUUUUUUUUUUACCGUUUAUUUAUUUUUGAGACAGGGAGAGACAGAGCAUGAACGGGGGAGGGUCAGAGAGAGAGGGAGACACAGAAUCUGAAACAGGCUCCAGGCUCUGAGCUGUCAGCACAGAGCCCAACGCAGGACUCAAACUCACGGACCGCGAGAUCAUGACCUGAGCCAAAGUCAGACGCUUAACCAACUGAGCCACCCAGGCGCCCCAGGUGAAAAUACUCUUUAAACACACAUUUGCUCAUAGCACCAGUCACAGACAUAUCACUAGAUUUGCCAUUUAUGAUGAAGAGGUGUCUUCCUUCUGAUUAAUUCUGGAAAGAAACUCUACCACAAGUAUCAUAAUAAUUAAAAUCAUGUAGCAUUUCACAAUGGACAAAACUCUUUCACAUAUAAUAUCUUAGUAUUUUCUUAAAACCAUCCUAUAUGUUUUCAGGACAAGUCCUAUUACUACUAUUUGAUGUACAAAUAAGUUGAGGCUAUCAAAGUGUUUAAAUGACUUAGCCUAGGUUUUACACAGCUAGUAAGAGGCAGGGUUAGGAUUAGAACCCACACCCUUGAUGUUCUUCCCACUGCAUACCACUGGAUCUCUGAAGAAUGAAAACUGGAUCGCCUAAAGAUCUAAGGCCACCCUAAUUCUCAGGACAUAGAAGAAAAGAUAAAAACACUGAGAGUGAUGAUGAAGGUUGCUUUACAGAGAGAAAUGGUCAACACCAAAAGCUGUCAUCACACUGCACACAUUCACACACACAAUCUCGUGAGAAAAAAUUCAAACUGCUUGCUUGAGUGAACUGGUCGAGUCUAUCCAAACAAUCAGGUAACCCUAUGGAGAUAAUCACAAAAAACCCAUUACAUGGUCUGAAUUAUGGUUUCUGCAGUAAUGUCAACCAACUUCGUUAAAGACCACAGAGACAAACUCCAACCUGCACACAUGUACAACCUGACCUGACGAGCCUAGUUGGAUUUUUAUAGACACAAUUUUUAAACAUCUCCCUGAGUGCACUGGUCCCACACUGCAGUAAGCAGCCAUGAAAGGCUGAAUGGGCUUUGCUGAUACGGGUACAGAUGCUAUGGGGGACCCUGCCUCUCCAUUCAAGCGCGCCUGGUUCCUCCCGCACACAAUGCUGAAGCAAUUCUUUCCCAGGCUUUCUUUUAUAUUUAACACUAAUACAGUGGGAAAAAGUUUCUGCCACAGCAAGGCAAUGUCCAGGCUUUUGUGAAGCAGGCCUUUUCAUCCAAUGGGCAUUAAUGUAUAGAUUCCAACGGAAUAAAUCUGAAAUAGUCUACUGUAGAAGAUUUGUUCCCCAUUGAAAACAAAUCUUGAUUAGAUGGUUAUUCAGGGACUGUAUAGGAAGGAAUGGUGUGAAAAUGCUAACUCCAUUCUUUCCUAGAUUGGCACUGAAUAGGCAUUUGGGCUAUUCAAAAACAAAACAAAACAAAACAAAACAAAAAACCACCAACCACCCUCUUAACUCUACAAAACCAUACAACUUUCCAAAGAUUAUGUAUAUUUGGGGACGCCACCUCACCCCAAAAAUACCCCACGAUGGUGUGAACAUAGAACUGCGGGGGUAAAAUGAAGAGUUGAUAAAAAUGGUUCUCUGCGUGUUUAAAAAUAAUAACCGACCUCCUUUCCACUAGAGUAAAAAUAUAGAGUCAGCCUGAGAUGGCAUUCACUAGAAACACACAAGGCAUCCUACCACAGAAAGUGGUCAUGUAUUCUGAAUGACUGUGUUCUGUGAGCGAGCACAAUACGGAUGGGGCUGAAGCGGGGCGAGCACCGAAGGGAAAAUCGGCUUGUGGUGAAAGAGGUGAUGGAGGGCCUGGCUCUGCCUUGUAGGAACCCGGCUCCUGACUGUCUCUUAAACUGCGGGUGUUCGGGGACAGGACUUAGCAUGAGAAUAAAAAGCUGCUUGUGCACAAGGGAAAAUGAACAAGAAAGGAAACAGCAGGCAAUACAAUCUCCUUUAAUUAGGUGUGAAAUCUAGUCCUUUCUCAGCCCCGGAUAUAUAAAAUCAGACCAGUGCAAGGGUGAGGUGCUAUAGAGGGAGAUGGGAAUUUGAAGUCUCUGUGAUUUGGGAGGAAACACCAGCUCUCAAAUUAAAACCAACAUGAAUUUCGGUCAAGUCAACACGUCUAAGUCAAAUGGCAGGGCCGAAAAGCCCUUGAGCUUUCAAUCUGGGCCAGCAGGCUCACAUGAGGUAAGUGGGUCAGCUCACAAAAUAGGGCUAGGGUGGCCAGGCCUCCACAGCCCAGGCUUUUAUAUCACACUCUUUGCCACCUUGCACCUUGAUACUUUUACUGUGUUGAAGUUUCUCUUUCGUGUAUCAGGUGAUUAGUGGUGAUCGUAAGCUACCGUGUGUUGGUGCUACUUACCAAGUUGGUCAUACUAGGAAAGACCGACUCUUCUCCUGAGAAAACAGGGAUGCAUGUGGUCACUCAGGUCCCUUCCUCCCCAAAUCUACAUCUGUUGCCCCUGCCAGGGCCAAGACCUUGGAUAUUUGAGUUCACGUAUGUGCCGGGGUGGGGAGGAGCUGCUGAGCCUGAGGAGGGCAGAGGUUGCUUCCUCACGGGCUUCACCAUCCAAAGCAGAUGGCCCAACACAUUCUUUCUAUCUCAGGGGCAUCUUCACAAUCUUUGUGAGACAGGGAAACUGAAGGACUCCGUAAAAACCUGCUUUUUGUUCCCUUUCCCACUUCUAUUCUGCUGGGACCUGCAUCCCUGCCCUACACAUGCCUUAAUGUAUGUCCUCCUUUGUAAGGGACAAGGAGUUCAUGAUCUCUUUGGAGUCUUCCAGCACAGCAGAUAACAUCUAAGGACUGACCAGGCUAGGUCAUCAUGUGUAUAUUCCAGACCACUGGCGCUAGACAUCUCGACGCCAACACCCCCUGGCUCCAGGGAGUAAGUGACUUAUGAUGGACACCUGGACUCUGUCCUUGUUCUGACCAGUUCCUGGAUGACUGAGAGGACAUGUGCACCAGACCACAAUCAUCAAUAAAAAAUCCCCAGGCCCCAAGUGAAGAUGAGACUCCCUCCUUUCCUUUCCGAGUCUCCCACACACUCUGUCUGUACCCGCACUCUCUUUCUACCUUCAAUGAACUCUGCUUUCACCUCCUCCUGGCUCGCGUUUGAUUUCUAUCCUGCACGCAGCCAGGAACCCUCUUGGCUGGUCCUGUGGGAUGGCCUCUGGGUCGUGGGACCCAGCCUGUCAACAUCAUUUGGAGGGUGGCUGGGAGCACUGGAGAAAUCACUUACCGCUGGCUCCAUACACCUAGCAUAUCCUAGCUGUCAUUGCCUCUGGAUGUGGACCCUGGGAGGGUCAUUAGCAUAUGGGAAAGAGAGCUGCACUGCCUUAUGCACCCACUCCUGGGUGUAAAGGGAGUGCUUUGGUUUGUCUCCCAGUGAGAGUUGUCCUCUACCUUCCUGAUUGUCUAAGCCCAAGGUACAGGAACCAUUAGAGGAUAUUCUCUUUUUCUCUCUCUUUUUUUUUUUUUUUCUUUUUUACCGUUGGUAACAAAUUGUUCUCUUAAAGCAUUAAAAAUUUGUUCAACUUUCAGAAAUUAGAUUUUCAAACUAUUUUCAGGAAUAUACCACCUAUGAAUGUUGGGAACAGUCUGUAUUUACUUUUUAGUCACCACUUAUUAUUUUAGCUGGACAGAGAUAAUCAACUUACUAACUUGCCUGAAGUGUUUACAACACCAUUCUACUUAUGAUCUCAGUACCAUAGUUGGAUAUGUCUUUCAUAUUCCUUGAACUCUUAUUCAUACAUGUAAGGAACUUUCAUUCCUUCCAAAGCACAGUUUAAGUACUGAAAGGUCUUUAGGAAGUGUAUGUGUGGGCUUUAGGGGUAUCCACAUAUUAUCAUGAAUGGGCAUGUUUCUACUUUCUUAGGGAUAAGGUCAAUGUCUUUCAUUAGAAUCUCAAAGAGGUCUGUAUUCCCCCCAAAUUAAGACCCAUGAAUCGAGAAUCAAGUAUCUCUCCUCAGGCUGCUCUUAACUACUUUCAGUAAUCAGAGCCUCUGAAACUGAUGUCGCCUUCAUGACUGCAUCUGAGGUAACAGGCCCGGCAGGCUGAUAUUUCCCAUUUACUUGAGUGGAUGCUAUUUUAUGUGAUCAACGCCACAGUCUUAGCCAAAGUGACAGCACUUACCUUUCCAAAGAGAAUGAUUCAAAAAUAAAAAUAGGAUUGAAAAGGAAGAGAAAAAAAAGAGAGAACAGAAAUAUAGAUGAUAAAGUACUAACACUAGCUGAGAUCUGGAGGAAUAGAACAGAACUAUAUAGUCUGACAAUUGGUGAAGCCAACUAUAGGUUUUUAUCAGAGCGGAUCCCCUUUGAAAGUUAACACAAAUCCAUAUAAGAACUAGGAAAUAUCCUUUAAUGUUUUUUGGACUGUUAAAAAUGAGAUAUUGUGGUAUAAAUUGAACAAAGAAUAAAUACAAACUUAACAUGCACUUCUUUUUUUAAAAAUCUGAAUGUGUACUUCCAAUCUAGCCAACAAGGUAGAGUUCACCUGAAAGCCCUGUAGUACUUCAAACAGACAGCUUUUCUUUCUUUUUCUCCCUCCCUCCCUUCCUUCCUUCCUUCCUUCCUUCCUCCCUUCCUUCCUUCCUCCAUCCCUCCCUCCCUCUCUCUGGUCUCUCUCUUCCUCCCUCCCUUUUUUCCUUCUGCUACACCCUUAAGUUUUCCUAAGCUUCAAGUAUGGGGAACAAGGGGGGAAAACUGAAUUAGUAACUCAUAUACUCUGUGAUCUUCAGGCCCAUUCCCAAAUCUGGACUGAGUCUCCAUUCUUGCCGUCCUUCCCCUCUCUUCACUCUACCAAAAAGCAAGAGCUUCACGCUUCGUCUGAAGGAUAGGAAGAGACUGAUACUGCCGGUGGGAUUUCCAGGGCCAAAGGAAAAGUCCCACAGAAGCCUUUUGAGUUGGCUCUGGAGGCUCUCACAGUCUCUCUCAGACAGCCCAGACCUUUGGCUUGCCUGAUUCCACAUUCACUCUGCUGUUACCUCCAAGAAGGGACUGAGAAAUGCCUGAUUAUGCAUCCAACAUUGCAAAUACAACUGACUGAUGGAUGGAGGUGUUUUGGGGGUCACCUGAAUAUUCACCAAUUCAUGAGUGAAACAUUUACUGAGAAAACCCUCUUGGAAAUGGAUCCAUAAGGACACAGGUGAUCUAAAAUCUAAAACAGUGAAAAGAAAUUCAUCCAUAAGGACCUUUGAUAUUUGAAACGUAUACUCAUCAAUCAACUUCUCCCUGACCUCAGUGCCCAGGAAAAGCUGGUUCUAUGUUUAUCUUUGUGGACCCUGUGAAAAUCAUACCUGGAGCUCAGAAUCAAAAUUUAGGUCAAAUUUUCAGAACUACAUGGGACCUCAUGGUAUGCUUUUCUAAGUCAAAUUUACCCCCUGGCCUCAUUCUAGUGUCAAUUCCUUAUUUUACUUCAACUCUGAUUUCUUUUUUAUAGUUACAUGUAAGUAUAUUUUCCUACAUAUUUACUAAUGUAUUGAGUAUUCUUUUAAGCCAACUCAAAUCCCUUUAGUUAUGAGGUGGGGAUAUAAUCAAACAAUCAAGAAGUAAUUGAACAUCAAUUUUAUGCAACCAAUUCUAAAUAUAAGUUAAAACUUCAGCUUGGGGUAUUAUCAAGCUACAUGCUUUGUGAAUUUCUAUACUUUGAGCAUCUGAUUCCAGUGGAACAAAACACUGAAUGUUCAAACACCUUCUUUAUUCUCUUAUAGUACAGCUUGUGAAAGCUAAGUUUUAACUCUGGGAACAAAGGCAUCGGACAGCUAUAAUUCUAGACAACAUUCUGAAAGACACCUAUGCCCUCAUUCCAACGCUGAAAUGAAAUGACUUCUUCUUGAGAAGGCAGGACCUGCUGGGACUAAGGAAGAAAGUCAUUGAAAUCUGAGGUUGAUGCCUUUAAAUCCUCUUAUAUCAUAAACCUUUUGAGACACCUUUUAGGAGUUUGAUUUUUUUUAUAAAGCUCUUUCCUUACAAAUUUAGCUGCUGCCCUAUUGUAACCUUUUCUUUUGUUCACUAAAUCUGGGGAACAAAAACACAGAGAUGCUGCAUCCGUGGGUGGGAUACAAAAAUGAACAAAGGGAUCUACUUACAUUCACAGUUAAAGUAUGCAGUUUGAACUUGGCUUUGGAUAGGCCUUAAAGAAGGAUCUUUAUAUUCAAAUGUACAGUUAAUAAGUUCAGUCCUUUUCUUCUGCUUGAAAAGAAAUUAAAAAUUUUAAAGUGUUUAUAUAGAAACCAGCAUCUUCUUACUUACUAAUCUGUUCUUCUUUUGAUCUGUAUAUCAUCCUGUACUUAUUUUAAAGGAAAAACACAUUUUUAAUUUGACUGAGUUCAAAGAUCCAGAAUAACUCCUAGGAAUGGCAUUCCUUUGGAAAAUAUCAACUGGUGUUAAAGUAUAGUUAAGUAAGAAAUUAAUUUUUUGACUUUGGGACAACUUUUAUCUGAAUUUCAAUGAGUGAGAAAACAGAACCCCAUAGUGUCAUUUUUAAAAAGCUGUUUUUUACUCAAAUAAUCAGAACUUCCCAAUCCACAGAACUUCCUUUGGUCCUCUGUUGCUGCACUGUUUUGAAACUGCUUUUGAAGCAGAUCUUCAGAUUUGCUCAGUGCUCAAAUGUUCUCUUUGCUUACGUCUUCCGGGAAAAAAUAAGUCACUUCCAAUGUGACAACUGGUUUUCAAGCACAGUUCUGUGUAUUGGUAGAAGGGGGCUACAGUGUUUCUCUAUAGAGGGCAUGGGCUUGAGCCAUGAUAGAUUGUUUUACUGAAAAAAUGAAGGCCUUCUAUCUCAAAGCAACAAGGAAAAGCCAAGGAAAAAGGUUAUUAUUAUUAUUUUUUUCUGGAUUACUAGAAAAGUUAGAAGCACAGAGGGGAUUUGAUGUUUAGGACAAGUAGUUGAAACUACCUCUCGACAGCCCAGCUAGGGCGAUCCAUCAUGAAACCAGGCACAGAGUUUCCUUAAGAAAGAAUAAGAUGUAAGUCUUCUAGGAUGAAGAAGAUCCUAGGUAAGUGUUGUUGGAACUCAAAACCUUGGGAGACAUGGAUAAAUAAAGGGAGUAGAAGGCAUACUUCAUAUUAUUCUAAUGAGGAGUAAGAUACUUCAUUUUUAUUUUAUUUUUGUUAUACUUUAUGUGUUCUUUUAUAUAAUAUUUUAGUACUAUUUACCUGUCAUAGGAGAAAAGAUAUUAAGCUGUAAGAGUCUUCUAUAGCUGUAGGUAACAUUCUAAGAAUCUCAUCUCACUUCACUGGUUUGAUCUUAUUUUCCCAUUUUCCCCAAAUAAAAUCUUUGAACUAAUCAAAGAAGUUGGACAUUUUGCCAUCUCUUGCAUGCACUGCAAGAGCUUAUUCUUAAUUCUCCUCUGCUGAAUUUGUCCUGAGUUCUGAAAUUCUGUGCUUUCCUCUACUUACCAGACCUUAUGACCAUUUGAGAACCCUAUAAAAAGUUCUUCCUUCUCUGUGGAGCCCUUCUCUGAUUGCUGGGUCCAUCUUAAUUUCUCUCUUUUCUUAGUUCCGACUGGUUGGUGAGGUAAUAGAUUGAAACAUUAAUUUCUGUUUUUUUUUUUUUUUUUCUUUUCCCCACUGAAUGAGAAAACUUUCAUAGCAAUAAGGCAAUUAAGAAAAGCUAAGCUUGUGCACAGUUCUGGGCUCUCUUAGGAAGUUGUGGCUUCACAGUCCAAAUCAGAAGUUAAGCCCUAAAGACAAAGCCCCAAGAUGGAGAGCUUUGUUUUGGGAAUCUAGGCCCUCUAAGGGAAUUAAGCUAGGCCCUUACUAGGGUGAGGAGGGUGAGGCUGGUGCUUUGGAGGUAGACUGAGGUGGCCUGUCAGGAGAGAACAAUAAUUACCCCUCAAAUGGGGGAAGGUGCUAUGAAGUUUGAAGUCUCUGCUUACAUACAACUCUAGUUGGGGUAAUUUCUUGGUACACUUCUGGAGGAUGGACAUAAAAAAAGGGUACUGCCUUGACAGGAGCAGUGAUGCACCUGGGGCAAGGAUGAGGGUGAGGGGCAUCUCUAAACCCAGCUACAGCAGUAGUGCCCAGCAGUCAGAUGGACCAGGGUCUUUGUCAUGUAGACAAGCAAUGUUGAUGAUGAAGACUGCUGUGGACUAAGGAUCUGACCUCUCCCUAGAUUUUGUAAGUCUCUGUACAAGUCUGGGGAAGGGAGAGGAACCUUGAAACCUCAUGGAAUUUCUUGCUAUUUUAGUGACAGGUUUAAUUUGCUUUAGAAAUAAGGAAAUGUGGGGCGCCUGGGUGGCUCAGUCGGUUAAGCGGCUGACUUCGGCUCAGGUCAUGAUCUGGCGGUUUGUGAGUUCGAGCCCCGCGUCGGGCUCUGUGCUGACAGCUCAGAGCCUGGAGCCUGCUUCAGAUUCUGUGUCUCCCUCUCUCUCUCUGACCCUCCCCCAUUCAUGCUCUGUCUCUCUCUGUCUCAAAAAUAAACGUUAAAAAAAAAUAAAAAAAAAAAAAGAAAUAAGGAAAUGUUUUUUCCACCUGAAUGUUGAGAAAUAAGUCUGAACUUCUUACACAUGUACUACCUAAUUUAGUAUAUUAUUGACCACUGUCUCUUUUCACUUGUGCUUGUCUGGGUCUAUGAGAAGACUCGAAGCAUCCCGAAGGCUAGUACCCUGCCUUGUUAUAACUACAGCUACAACUACAAAUUACUGAACCUUCACACUGCCCAUUUCUUUACAUUGAGUAGGUCCUAACUGAGCAUUUGUUAGGUCAAGUCUCUGUCGAACUUCCUGAACAUGCUGACAAUAUCAAUGGGAACUUCAGGCUACACCUUUUCUCUGAGGUACUGCAUGUUGUAGUCCCAGGGAGUCUUUCUGUCUCUGAAGUUUGAGUGAUGCUCUUCUCCCUCUCCUUUAUUACUCUACUGCCUCUCAUCAAGGAAGAGCCACAGUUCUAUUUUCAGUACACAUUUAAGGUCUAAGGCAAUUGGUUUUUUAUGAGUUCACUGAGUUUCUCACAAACUGUGCUCAAUCAUUUAUGAUUUCUGACACAGGCCUUACUGUCCCCAUCUCCCGGAUUCCAUUUCUCCCAAAAGACAGCUCAUUAGGUCCUCCUGUCGGCUGAGGAGUCAGUGGAGCUCAAAGCAGAGCCAUACCUUAAAACCCCAGGUAAGAAGAGACGAUCAGUCUCUCAUGUGAUCUAAAAAUGAUCAGGCUAAAGUCCCACCACCCUUGCCUGACUUAGGGAAGCUAAACUGCUUGCUCACAGAUGUUAGAGAGAUCUCUAUCAAUCAGUUGUGAUAACUGGAUAUGUAUAUUUGCAUAAACAGUGUCAGAGAUUGUUUAGAAUAUUUUCACUUGGUGGCCACUGGGUGUCCUCAUUUACAAAGUAAAUAAGUAAAUACGCGCUAUUUAGUGUAGGUCACCCGAGGGAAUAAAAGACACUAGAUUUCUCUUUGGCCUUUCACAUGCUGAGCAUAAUUUUUUUUAUUGAACUUACAACCAGGUCAGAUAUCAGUACUGUUAUAAAUGUUCGGGUAAAAUUGGUAAGGUUUAUAACCAAAGUAACUUUUGUAGGUUCCAGACAUGAAUUCAUAAGGCCAUUUCCUCAACAGAGGGGACCGUGAUCUAGCUAUUAGAAUGAGCUCUUAUUUGUUUGAAAAUUGGCAUGGGAUUUUGACUAUCUGCGCAGAGAGCCAGGAGAGAGAGGAGCAGAGAAAGUCUUCAUUUAUUCUUAAAAGAAAAGAGAACACCAAAUAUCUCCAUGGGAUAUUUGUUAGAUUCUGUUUUUAUUUCAGUUUUUCUGGAAACCAAUUAAAAAUAAUAAUGAGAAAGAUAAAAUAUGUCCUUUUCCUGGGAAACCUAAAAUAAUGUGGAAAAACAGUACAUUGAAGUGGGGCAUAUGAUUAUGAAUCAUUUCAUAUUGAAAGACAAAGGAUUAAUUUUAUUUAUUUAUUAAUUUAUUUAGGUGGACCAGUUAUCCCAUCUGUAAAAUGAAGAUUCUUAUGCUUCACAGGGAUGUGGUAGGAGAAUAAAAUAGAAUAAGGAGGCAUGUAGGGAUCCUAGGAAAAGAAACUUGUAUACCAGACAGAUUUUAGGGCAGUACUAACAUUCUGACUGUAGCUGAGUCACAGUUGUGGAUCUUGUUCCUAACAGCAGACGGGAGUCAAGGCCAGAGUUCAUGCAGCCAACAGAUAUUUCCUGAUUCAACCACUCUAACGCACCAAGUGUGAGGCACUGCAGGGCCGUCACUUUGUGCUCCGUAAAGUGAUUUGUGCAUGCCUAGGAUUGUCAAUGCUUCUAAACUUGUAUUACAUACAUCCCUGAUGAGAUUCUUUCCUUGCAAGGCCAAAAUGAUUUCCAUCUCCCUACUCUGUAAAUUUCUCACACCUGAGAUACAGAGCCACUGUUAAACUUCAUAUAACAAUACUUGCCUUCCAAUGUUGUACUUAACCGACUAGCUAACCUUUUUCAAAAGCAAAGUUAACUUUUCUGUAAUAAUUUUUUCCUCCAGUGCAUAUCCUCAGCUUAAUUAUUAGUCUCUGGCAUGUCAUUUCAGUAUAUAAAUUAUCAACAUGAUUCUGCGCCAUAACUAACAGUUUACAACAGAUAAUACCAGGGAAACGAGGAAGCCCUGUGAGCUAUUCACUGCCUUUCAGAGAUGGUCUCAGGUCUUACUGGCAUUGCUUAACAGCUUUUUUCUGUUUUUAAAAGACCACCCGCCCCUGCCUCUAGUAGAGCUGUCGGUAACUCUCAAUCAACCGUUUAAACGCACAAUGAUGCACAAUAGCCAGGUCACUUGCACCCUUGGAUUCUACCAAAGGAUCACAAUGUACUCAGAGUGUAUGGAGAACUAUCUCCUUUCUUCUAAAGAUCCUUAAAUCCCUGGGAUUUAUAGCAUCCUCCAACUCUUUAAUUAGUAGACUCAUUUUUGAACUACCGUAACCCCAAAGACACAUAUCUGCAGAGCCCUUGUGACUGUGUUUUUCCCUAAGCCUUUACUCCUUUCAGUUUCCCCAGUUUGCUCCUUUAAUUUCACUUUCAGAACUUCUUGAGGCUCAGUGGCUGAACACCACACAGCGCAGGUCUUAUCUGAUGUACCGGCGCCUGGUGUGGUCUAAGACACACUGGUGUUUUGUUCUUGAAGUACAGGGAAGUUCUGAAACCUAGACUCCAACACAAAGGAGAUCAUUAGCUCGUUUUAAGUGUCUCUUUUCUUCCCUCAUGGCCCCCUCCUACCCACCCCAGUGCUUCCUUAGUCCUAUGCACUGGCCACAGAUGGCAACCAUAUUCCAAUUCCAAAGCUGAGUAUAUACAAAAUCCUUCCAUGGAGAACAGAGUGGCUUCAAAGUUAGCUUUCUAUUCAAGUGGGAUGGUGGAGACUCUGGAGGAGUGAACUCAUCUCUCAUUCAUUUAACCCUCUAUUCAUUCAGCCAGAAGCCUGUUUUCCUACACAUUCUUCUAGUGUCCAGCCAGUUGAGGGAGGCCGGGUGUGAAGAACUCUCUUGAGGGCCCUUCCAGCAGGAGGGCACUGGGAUUCUAAGCCACGCUCUUGUUUCCCUGGGCCAGCUCUGUCUGCUGCUGAUCAAAUCAUGCCAGUCCCGUGAGAGGUGCUUGGGAGCACUGUGUAGGGGGUGGAUUUCUCAAGAGCUGUCUCCUUGCUAGACUGACAGCACAUACUGUAUUCCCUAGACAAGGAUUAGACCAGGGAAAAGGGUGAAACAAGGAGGAGGGUGUGGGGUUUCAGAAAACUCCGCAGGAUGGCACAGUAAUGGGAGGUGGGAGUGGGAAAACCUUUCUUUUUUCUUGUUUCAAGGUUUGCUGGAGCUUUGGCCUAAUCAUCUGUUUGAGCAUCUUGAAAAUAAGUAUCUAUUUUCAUGAUAUCUAUGAAAAAAAGGCACCAGAUUAUACUACAAAGUUGACCUUAACCCUGCCAUAUUGUUACUAGAAUCAAAACAUGUAGCAGCCUACAUCCAACAGAAAAGGAUUUUGUUUUCCCAGCAUAAAAACCAGAGGGUAUCUGCAAUGCACUUUGUUUCAUAGGUCUGCUGAAGGAAAAAAAUCUGAUAAAAAAUCAGUACCUAUACUUUCACAAAUGGGCAAAAUGCUCACAAACACCAUACACCCUUGCUUUUGCUCCAUUCUCCCACACCACAUUCAUUCAUUCAUUUAUUCAUUCAACAACUAUUCGCUGAGCACUUACUAUGGUCAAACACUCUGCUGGGUGCUCAGGAUCCAGCAGAGAACAAGACAGGAUUUCUUUCCUCAUGAGUUCUUCCAACUGGCCCAAAGAAGCACUUAAUUUAACUGCUAGCAUGUUAUUUGAGGAACAGGGAUGAUUCGUCUUACCUAAUAUUUCUUCUGAGUCUUUCUGAAACAUAUUUCUUGAACGUCCAGACUCCUUCAACUAAGACGUUCUGUCUUGAAUCUCUCCCGUUCUAUUGUUAUAUCCAUUCCUUUCUUGGCUACAAUGUUGAGAGUUCAGAUUGCAACUGCUACCUUUUUUUUUUUUUUUCUUUUUCUUUUGGUGGGGCUACAACCCUGAGGGAUCGUUACUUUCCAAGCUGCACAUAUAUUUUGUCUGUAGAUACUGUACCAUCUAAAUGGUGUCUUUGGAUUCUGCUGAAUAGCCGUCAACAUGAUUUAAGGAAGACUUCAUAUGAGAAUCAGAAAUCACAAAAUUUCAUUAUUUUAAAGCUCUGACUUGAGAUUUAUGUGGACUUCACACAAUCUAGGUUAGCAUUUCAACUGCAUCUCUUACUAAGAGACCUGUGAGCUCAAGUUCCAUACCCAUGUGUCUCUGGAAUUCUAUUCUCAGCGGCAAAAGUGCUCUGGAGGGAGGAGAAGCAAAUGUCCACAAUUAUCUCCACGCAUUACCCAAAACCCACGGGACAGGAAACGCGUACUCGGUACAAUGAGCCAACAAGUCUUCCUGAAUUUCUUAAGAUUAUAUAUAUUCUUUCAGCUCCUGCAAACUGCUUCAGAAUGGAAGAAGAUAAGUGAGCUGGGAGAUUCAGGGCAAUCCUACUCUGCAGCAAAACAGAGUAACUGAGUUGGCCAACUAAGUUGGCCUCUAUUUUCAAUUCUUUCAUAAUACUCUGAAGCCAUCGGGUGGACGGUCUUUCAAAAAGAUGAAAGGUGCAUUUCUUUAGUUGUAAGGAUGUCUCUUU
Molecule: long non-coding RNA, 15927 nt
Filed under: Lynx pardinus (Iberian lynx)
Lineage: Eukaryota; Metazoa; Chordata; Mammalia; Carnivora; Felidae
Source: RNAcentral